UACAGAGGGUGCAAACGUUGCUCGGAAUUACUGGGCGUAAAGCGCGUGUAGGCGGACUGGUAAGUCGGACGUGAAAUCCCUGGGCUCAACCCAGGAACUGCAUCCGAAACUAUCAGUCUGGAGUGGUGGAGAGGGAAGCAGAAUUCCUGGUGUAGAGGUGAAAUUCGUAGAUAUCAGGAGGAACACCGGUGGCGAAGGCGGCUUCCUGGACACUAACUGACGCUGAGACGCGAAAGCGUGGGGAGCAAACAGG
Molecule: ribosomal RNA, 253 nt
Filed under: uncultured bacterium
Lineage: Bacteria
Description: partial 16S ribosomal RNA
Rfam family: Bacterial small subunit ribosomal RNA
Source: RNAcentral